Molecule: ribosomal RNA, 777 nt
Filed under: uncultured Neocallimastigales
Lineage: Eukaryota; Fungi; Neocallimastigomycota; Neocallimastigomycetes; Neocallimastigales
Description: partial large subunit ribosomal RNA
Rfam family: Eukaryotic large subunit ribosomal RNA
Source: RNAcentral
UACUAGAGUAGCACUCGCAUAUCAAUAAGCGGAGGAAAAGAAACUAACAAGGAUUCCCCUAGUAACGGCGAGUGAAGCGGGAAGAGCUCAAAUUUGAAAUCUUCAAGGGUUUCCCUUGACGAAUUGUAGUUUAUAGAAGUGUUUUCUGUUAGAGAGGUGGUAAAAGUUCUUUGGAAUAGGACAUCAUAGAGGGUGAGAAUCCCGUAUUUGAUCACUUUCUACUAACGUUGUGAUACACUUUCAACGAGUCGGAUUGUUUGGGAAUGCAGUCCAAAAUGGGUGGUAAAUUUCAUCUAAAGCUAAAUAUUGGCGAGAGACCGAUAGCGAACAAGUACCGUGAGGGAAAGAUGAAAAGAACUUUGAAAAGAGAGUUAAACAGUACGUGAAAUUGUCAAAAGGGAAGCGUUUGACACCAGUGUUGUUUUUUCCGAAAAUCAAUUACGAAUGUUUCGUUUUUGAGAAGUUAUGACUUCAUCGGCUUGCUUCUCUCUUUACGAAACUUUCUUAAUGCACUUUUCGGUUAACAAGUCAACAUCAAUUUCUUUUGUUGUAAAAGGGUAUGAGGAAGGUGGCUUUCUUUUCGGAGAAAGUGUUUAUAGCCUUGUAGCCUCUGCAAUCGGAGAGAUUGAGGUCUGCAGCGUAGAUCCUUCGGGGUUAGAUACAUUUGUGCUAAGUUAUAGCUUUUCAUAGACAACUUGUUGACUAUGUUAAGUCUUGUAGCUUACUCGCUUAUGCUAUUUUACCUACGCUUAGGAUGUUGAAGAUGUAGCACAUCAU